Molecule: ribosomal RNA, 850 nt
Filed under: uncultured Psychromonas sp.
Lineage: Bacteria; Pseudomonadati; Pseudomonadota; Gammaproteobacteria; Alteromonadales; Psychromonadaceae
Description: bacterial SSU rRNA
Rfam family: Bacterial small subunit ribosomal RNA
Source: RNAcentral
GAACGUCUGGCGGCAGGCUUAACACAUGCAAGUCGAACGGUAACAGGGAAUAGCUUGCUAUUUUGCUGACGAGUGGCGGACGGGUGAGUAAUGCUUGGGAAUAUGCCAAAACGUGGGGGACAACAGUUGGAAACGACUGCUAAUACCGCAUAAUGUCUUCGGACCAAAGCAGGGGACCUUAGGGCCUUGCGCGUUUUGAUUAGCCCAAGUGGGAUUAGCUAGUUGGUAAGGUAAUGGCUUACCAAGGCGACGAUCCCUAGCUGGUCUUAGAGGAUGACCAGCCACACUGGAACUGAGACACGGUCCAGACUCCUACGGGAGGCAGCAGUGGGGAAUAUUGCACAAUGGGGGAAACCCUGAUGCAGCCAUGCCGCGUGUGUGAAGAAGGCUUUCGGGUUGUAAAGCACUUUCAGUAGGGAGGAAAGGGUGCUGGUUAAUAACCAGUAUCUGUGACGUUACCUACAGAAGAAGCACCGGCUAACUCCGUGCCAGCAGCCGCGGUAAUACGGAGGGUGCGAGCGUUAAUCGGAAUUACUGGGCGUAAAGCGCGCGUAGGUGGUUAAUUAAGUCAGAUGUGAAAGCCCAGGGCUCAACCUUGGAACUGCAUUUGAAACUGGUUAACUAGAGUUUUGUAGAGGGUGGUAGAAUUUCAGGUGUAGCGGUGAAAUGCGUAGAGAUCUGAAGGAAUACCAGUGGCGAAGGCGGCCACCUGGACAGAGACUGACACUGAGGCGCGAAGGCGUGGGGAGCAAACGGGAUUAGAUACCCCGGUAGUCCACGCAGUAAACGAUGUCUAUUAGAAGUUUGUGGCUAUAUGCCGUGGGUUUCAAAGCUAACGCAUUAAAUAGAC